Molecule: non-coding RNA, 94 nt
Organism: Acanthosepion pharaonis
Lineage: Eukaryota; Metazoa; Mollusca; Cephalopoda; Sepiida; Sepiidae
Source: the annotation of a GenBank genome assembly
CAAACACUGGUUCCUGUACAAUCACUGAAGUUAAGCAAUGUUGAGCCCAGUCAGUACCAAGAUGGGUGACCAACUGAGAAUAACACAUGCUGUA